GCUGGGCUCGGUGGCGUGCACCUGUAGUCCCAGCUACUCGGAGGCUGAGGCUGGAGAAUGGCUUGAGCCCGGGAAUUCUGGGCUGUUAUGUACUAUGCUGAUCAGGUGUCUGCACUAAGUUUGGCAUCAAUAUGGUGACCUCUCAGGAGUGGGGGACCACCAAGCUACCUAAGGAGGGGUGAACCUGCCCAGGUCGGAAAUGGAGCAGGUGAAAACACCUUGCUGAUCAAAAAGCUUACCAUCCAGUGAGGAGACUAGGUAUUCACACGUGAAAAGAAGAAGUAAG
Bos grunniens (domestic yak) is the source of this 286-nucleotide unclassified non-coding RNA. It matches the Rfam family "Metazoan signal recognition particle RNA". From Rfam's summary of the family: The signal recognition particle (SRP) is a universally conserved ribonucleoprotein. The record is from Ensembl. NCBI's taxonomy places the organism in Eukaryota, Metazoa, Chordata, Mammalia, Artiodactyla, Bovidae.